This is a long non-coding RNA of Rhagoletis pomonella (apple maggot), 634 nucleotides long. RefSeq lists it as uncharacterized. The transcript is spliced from 3 exons. NCBI's taxonomy places the organism in Eukaryota, Metazoa, Arthropoda, Insecta, Diptera, Tephritidae. The record is from RefSeq and is a predicted model, not a curated record.
GAGAAGCGACACAAGGAAAGAAUUGAGAAAGCUACAAGAAUCGAAAGCCUUAUGGAAAAAUGUUUGACUGAAAGCAAACCAGCUUAAACCUGUGGGUGUGCGCGAUAUAGUUAUAAAAUCAGCUCUUGGUUUGCAGGCUUCUGCAAAUGGAUGUAAAAUGAUUGCAAGUGCCUUUCGUUUCCGGCCGAACGUUUCGCCAAAUAACAUUUUCACCGGCGCCCUUCGCUCAUUUACAACAACUGCCUUUUCUCCAUCACCAUAUCAUGUCAUUGACGGCCAAAUCCACAUCACCUUUAUACGGCGUGUUCGGAAACACUGCUCUUGCUAGUGGUUCGGAUUUCGGAGCAACUUGAACAGCAACAACGGCACCAACAGAACAUUCGGUUUAACCCUGACAAACCUGUACCUGUACAAACAUUCCCCAAGCCAUACAAAUAUACCCACAUUGACGUUGCUGCCAGUGAUUUUGUAUUGCCAGAUGAGCCGACCGUUGCACCAAUCGUGGCAUUGGCAAAAACACAUUUAUAGUUUUAGGCGUAUAACUAGCGUUUGCAAUUAUACGACAGUUGACGAUUUAUUUAUUUCUUUUUAACUUGAAUCCAUUUUUAUAAUAAAAGGAUUCAUUCGAUAAUAA